GAUGAACGCUGGCGGCGUGCCUAAUACAUGCAAGUCGAGCGAACGGACGAGAAGCUUGCUUCUCUGAUGUUAGCGGCGGACGGGUGAGUAACACGUGGAUAACCUACCUAUAAGACUGGGAUAACUUCGGGAAACCGGAGCUAAUACCGGCUAAUAUUUUGAACCGCAUGGUUCAAAAGUGAAAGACGGUCUUGCUGUCACUUAUAGAUGGAUCCGCGCUGCAUUAGCUAGUUGGUAAGGUAACGGCUUACCAAGGCAACGAUGCAUAGCCGACCUGAGAGGGGGAUCGGCCACACUGGAACUGAGACACGGUCCAGACUCCUACGGGAGGCAGCAGUAGGGAAUCUUCCGAAAUGGGCGAAAGCCUGACGGAGCAACGCCGCGUGAGUGAUGAAGGUCUUCGGAUCGUAAAACUCUGUUAUUAGGGAAGAACAUAUGUGUAAGUAACUGUGCACAUCUUGACGGUACCUAAUCAGAAAGCCACGGCUAACUACGU
Molecule: ribosomal RNA, 496 nt
Filed under: uncultured bacterium
Lineage: Bacteria
Description: partial 16S ribosomal RNA
Rfam family: Bacterial small subunit ribosomal RNA
Source: RNAcentral